RNAcentral lists this ribosomal RNA (495 nucleotides) under uncultured bacterium. RNAcentral's name for it is "partial 16S ribosomal RNA". It matches the Rfam family "Bacterial small subunit ribosomal RNA", at positions 28 to 505 of the family's 1533-position model. The record is from RNAcentral.
GAUGAACGCUGGCGGCGUGCCUAAUACAUGCAAGUCGAGCGAACGGACGAGAAGCUUGCUUUUCUGAUGUUAGCGGCGGACGGGUGAGUAACACGUGUAUAACCUACCUAUAAGACUGGGAUAACUUCGGGAAACCGGAGCUAAUACCGGAUAAUAUUUUGAACCGCAUGGUUCAAAAGUGAAAGACGGUCUUGCUGUCACUUAUAGAUGGAUCCGCGCUGCAUUAGCUAGUUGGUAAGGUAACGGCUUACCAAGGCAACGAUGCAUAGCCGACCUGAGAGGGUGAUCGGACACACUGGAACUGAGACACGGUCCAGACUCCUACGGGAGGCAGCAGUAGGGAAUCUUCCGCAAUGGGCGAAAGCCUGACGGAGCAACGCCGCGUGAGUGAUGAAGGUCGUCGGAUCGUAAAACUCUGUUAAUAGGGAAGAACAUAUGUGUAAGUAACUGUGCACAUCUUGACGGUACCUAAUCAGAAAGCCACGGCUAACUACG